This 209-nucleotide ribosomal RNA is filed under the name Burkholderia vietnamiensis. RNAcentral's name for it is "16S rRNA. Bacterial SSU". It matches the Rfam family "Bacterial small subunit ribosomal RNA", at positions 1 to 215 of the family's 1533-position model. The record is from RNAcentral. Lineage: Bacteria; Pseudomonadati; Pseudomonadota; Betaproteobacteria; Burkholderiales; Burkholderiaceae.
UUAAACUGAAGAGUUUGAUCCUGGCUCAGAUUGAACGCUGGCGGCAUGCCUUACACAUGCAAGUCGAACGGCAGCACGGGUGCUUGCACCUGGUGGCGAGUGGCGAACGGGUGAGUAAUACAUCGGAACAUGUCCUGUAGUGGGGGAUAGCCCGGCGAAAGCCGGAUUAAUACCGCAUACGAUCUAUGGAUGAAAGCGGGGGACCUUCG